Oryza sativa Indica Group (long-grained rice) is the source of this 162-nucleotide microRNA precursor. It matches the Rfam family "MIR812 microRNA precursor family", at positions 27 to 191 of the family's 205-position model. NCBI's taxonomy places the organism in Eukaryota, Viridiplantae, Streptophyta, Magnoliopsida, Poales, Poaceae. The record is from Rfam.
UAUAAAGUUUGAUUUUUCGUCUUAUUUAAAAUUUUUCAAUGAUUAUUAUUAUUAUUAUUUAGUGAUAAAACAUGAAUAAUACUUUAUAAGUGACUAAUUUUAAAUUCUUUUCAUAAAUUUUUUUAAUAAGACAUACGGUCAAACGUUGGAUACAGAAACCCA